AACGUAGGAGGCGAGCGUUAUCCGGAUUUACUGGGCGUAAAGCGCGUGCAGGCGGAUCAGAAAGUUGGAUGUGAAAGCUCCCGGCUCAACUGGGAGAGGUCGUUCAAAACUACUGGUCUUGAGGGCGAUAGAGGGAAGUGGAAUUCCGGGUGUAGUGGUGAAAUGCGUAGAUAUCCGGAGGAACACCAGUGGCGAAAGCGGCUUCCUGGAUCGUCUCUGACGCUCAGACGCGAAAGCUAGGGUAGCAAAC
This 250-nucleotide ribosomal RNA is filed under the name uncultured bacterium. RNAcentral's name for it is "partial 16S ribosomal RNA". It matches the Rfam family "Bacterial small subunit ribosomal RNA", at positions 524 to 773 of the family's 1533-position model. The record is from RNAcentral.